AUGUCGCUCAGAAGACUCCACUGAGAGUCCUGCAUCGCCGGCCGCUGGCAGUCCGACAGAGACUCGUGCACUCCAUGACCACCAUUUACCUGGACAAACACCACUUCACCCUCAAGCUGUGCACACAGGCCGGCACUUACAUUAAAGAGUUUGUGCACGGAGACUUCGGCCGCACGAAACCCAACCUCUGUGACCUCAUGAAAACUGACGCUGAUAUUCUAGAGCUGGACGUCGAGUCUGUUGACAUCGACUGGCCUCCUGCUAUUCCGGAUUGACAUUUGGGAUUUUGAGAAUAGAUUUGUCAGGACUAUAUAUUUCUGUCACACAGUUCUUUGUUAGUUUGACUGUUAAUUGGUUGAAUUAAAGCAAAUGGCACUGAAUGCAUUUUCUUUAAUAAAACAGCCUAAUUUUGCUUUUUAA
Molecule: long non-coding RNA, 420 nt
Organism: Cyprinus carpio (common carp)
Lineage: Eukaryota; Metazoa; Chordata; Actinopteri; Cypriniformes; Cyprinidae
Gene: pus10
Exons: 3
Source: RefSeq, a predicted model, not a curated record